GGCCCUCUUCGGGGUGGCCGGGAGCCAACUUUCUGGGGAGUUGGUGGCCUGGAAUCUCACUGGGAUUUCUGGAGUUCCCUGUAGCCUCCAGUGCCAGAGUCGCGCCUUUCAGCAGCCCGGGGAGGCCGCGGGCGAGGGCCGAGUCUCCUCCCCGCAACGGUGUAGUCGGGCGGGUCCUGCCAGCCAAGCACCCUUGGCCCUGGGGAGCCCAAGGCCGUGCCAGGCCGGCCUGGUUCUCUUGCCUCAGCUCCAUGGCGCCUAGUUUCUUUGGACUUGCUCCUUCUGAGCCUCUUUUUCCUCCGCAGUAAAAGCGAGGGGCAGCAGGAGGGAGACCGGGCUACCUACCUUACCAGACGCUCCGCAAAUGCCAGUUGACUUCUCCAGCUGCGGCAUUGAGAAGCUGCAGUGUCUGGCAGGCCGGACCCAGCGUCCACGACAGACUCGGGAGACUUGCAGUGCCUCUACCUUAGCCCCUGCCCAUCCUUCUUUGCAAACCUGAUGUGUUUAUAGAGCAAAAGAAGGGCUUGACGUAUUUUUUUUUUCCACUAAGAAAAUCUGUUGUAGAAAACCACCGUGUGCAUGGUGGUGCCAUGGGACCUUCUAACAAAGCGAGGCCAAUAAGGAUGGGACGUGUUUGGAGUAUUUGUAGCCUGCCUCAUACUGGCCCAGUGACCUGGCCAAAUUCUCUCUACUUUGCCUCUGUCUCCUAAUGGUAUAAUGGGAAGGAGGAGAGUUUGAAUUAGAUGACCCUAAUGUGAGCUAAAAUAGCUGAUUUUUAGGCCAAUAUCUGUUGUAGAUGUUAGGGAAGUAUGUGGCUCCCUGUCCUGAAGCAGCCCCACUUCAAAGUGCAUUAGGACUGGAGAAGUGCUUCUGGCAGCAGAUGAGGCCUGGGGUACCUCACUAUAUUUGAGCUACUUAGCUCCCUGAGGCCAGGAUUUACCCUUUCACCUUUCACCCCAUUUGGCCAGAGCAGUUAAUGCUUUGCUUUGCCUCAGGCCACCCAGGGAGGGCCUGGAGUAGUUCUGGGCACCCUGGCAGGAUGUGGUUGGGGAAAGCAGUGAUUUCCCCUGGCUUCUGUCCAACCUGUCAAAGUGGGGGACGGCUCCAAUGCAGGUCAGGACUAUUCCUGGGGAUUUGAUUCCCAAUAUCUCCUGCAUGCCAGGCAGGGUGCCAAACUCUUCCGGGGCAAAGCUGAACAGGCCACCAGGCCCUUCCCUCUGGCUGUUCCCAUUGUUCGUCUGUGAGUUUCAUUUUCAAAUUCUCAGGCACAAUGACUUUAAAAAGAGCAAUGCCUGGCUUCAGCCUGGGUCAGGGCUACAGAAGCAAAAGUAACAGGACUCAGCAGGCUCACGCCUUCUGAACAAAAAUAGGAGAAGCAGAGGAGCUUCCUAAAAACCAUGUUGGGGGCACCCUCGGCUUGAGAGAAUUCACAAGGAAAAGGGAAGCCCCUUUCCUCAGCCCCAUCAUCCCUCCUUCACUCAUUGGUCUAAGGGUUAGGGGAUGAGGAUAGGAGACAGGCUUCAACAGAGCCCUAUUUCAAGAAAGAAUGCAACAGAUUGCUGGGUCCAGGCUCUUGGGCAUUCCUGCCUCCUGAGAUCGACCCUGGCCCCACUUUUAGACCCUGCUGGACACUGCCUAGAUGACUUCUACCUGGAAACUACCCAGUUCAAGCCAAGUCUUCUGGCCUCUGGUGACUUUCCCUUUUGGUAUCAUUGGGAGGAUAUGCACAGGCAUCAUGGACAACAGACAGAAAUGUGUUACUCUUAUGCUAGGUGGUCACUUCACCUCUCUGAAUAUUGGUUUUUUCACCUGUAAGAUGGGGAUAUUAUUAUUCACACAUAGGUACUAUGGGACUCCAAAGAGAUUUGCAUAAAGAAUUCAGUACAGUACCAGGCACAUAUUAACAGUAGCUACAGUUGCAUGAUGUGGACACAAUGUGACACAGGAGCCAACUGAGGCUCAGAGGGGUUAAGUUACUGCCCAGGGUCCUACAGUAUCAGAAGCUCAAUAAUUUCCUCUUUGGUCACAUAAGUAUCUCUGUUCUUUUGUUGUUUCAAAUGUAUGGAUCCUGGUUUUCCUUCAGACUGUGUACUCUUUAAGGAAAAGACAGUAGAUCAGCUGUUCUUUUGUCCCCCUGCUACUAACCCAGUCCACUUAAAAAAAAAAAAUUCUUAUUGAACUUGAAUCAGUAUCAAUUCCAGAAGCAAAAUUAAUCCUUUCCCUCCUCCUCUGGCUCAAAGAUGACUUUUGGAAACCCAUGUCACUCCUUUUAUUACAAACUCCUCUGCCCUCCUCCAGGCGCCUGGGCCACUCCGGGAUUACAAAUGGAGCCUUCUGCCUCUAGGUCACUGAUUCCGCUACCAUCUGUCAGCACCGAUUGAUUGAGUAGACUGGCCCUGCUCUGCAGAUCAGUGACUUGUGCGAAGUGAGCCGGGGUGUUGGUGCCUUAGGCAGCAGGCUGAUGUCCUUCCUCUCACUCACUGGCUCUUGAGCAUGCAAACAGCCCUCACCUUGAUCCUUCACCAGCCCUGGAUCUCCUUCCCCUUGGGAGGGGCCAGCUGCUCACAACCCCAGCACACCAAGAGGGAAGCCUGGAAGCCCUGCUUCUCAAGCCUGAGCCCGGGGCUCCGCUUUCAGUCUUCCAGAAGGUGACUCACAGAAGUCCCUGGUUAACAGAGAGAACACUCCACACAGCAUCCUGCUGGGCCUGUCCCAAGCCAGACACUAUCCCUGGUAAAGUGCAGGGGUGGCCUGGUGUGGAGCUUUGUGGGCACCCCCUCAUUCCACCCCAGCACCUGCUGUUUGUGAAGCUCCCAGCCCUGAAUGGGGGGUGAGGGGUCAGAGGAGACUCUAAUGCUGGGGGUAGGGGUGUCCAAACAGGGCCAGGGAAUGCCAAGAUUAGAUAGUGGGCAACAGCCAGCAGCUAUGCCCAGGAGGGCUGUACCCAGUGCAGAACCCUGAAAGGUCUUGUAUCUGUGACACACUUGAGCAUGAAUGUUUCAUAGGUAUCAUGGUGACCUCUGUUCAUCAACUUGCCCCUCCAUCUACUCUCCAGAGGCAAAGAUGUGGCUCCCACUGAUCGCCCUGCGCGCUUGGUGCACGUCCAACUCUCCUACUAGACUGUGAGGAUUUGUAAGGCAGAGAUACCUCUUUGUCUGGUGUGAGGCCUCCUAUGCAGGAUGAGGAGACUGAGGCACGGAGCAGUGAGGAGGAAUCAGAGCUGGAAUCCGAACACAGGCUAGUGGGCUGCAGAGCCCCUGCAUCUUUGCUUUAUCAUGAGAUAACAAUAGGGAGGUUCCUUUCCAUUGGGAUUAUUUCUGCUUGAAAGCACAAGACUUUUAGCCACAUCAUUGUCUGGGCUCCACAGGAAGGCAGUGCCACAUGCUGAGGCAUGCUGGGAAAAGACUUUGUUCCAUCCUGUUUUGUUGACAUGCUCUUCAUUUUUAAGCCUGAAACCCAAGCUUCCUGCUAAGAUUUCAAAUCGUGGAGAAAAAACCCAACCAUGUUAAUGGCCACGACUUCCUAAGCCUCCAGUGUCCCCUGUGCUUGGGGCUCCAGAUAUGUCAUUUAACCUCAACCUUCACAAUGACAGGAGCAGCCCCCAGAACACAGCUGGAGAAACUGGAGGUCAGAGUUGCUAAGAUGCCUAAAGGCUGGCCCAGGAUGCAGGUGUGGUGUGGCCCUAGAUGCUGCCUUCUCUGACAGCGGGAGCUGAGAGACAGGGAUGCCCAUGCUCCCUCCUCUCUCACUCCCUCCAGGGACUCAGGAUAGCCACCCUGCUGUGCUUAAAAAGGCACCUGUCUUCUGGAAGGAGCCCCACCACUGAGGAUCCUCAUCGAUGCCUGUCUCCCCACCAGCUCCUGGGGAUAACCGCCAAAGCAGGUGUGCCCUGCCUCAAGACCAGCACAGCAGGAGUGGGGGCUCCUCCAACCCUCAGCCAGUCCUUGACUACAGCCUCUUUUCCCAGCCCACCCAUCCCUGCAGCCGACUCAUUUCCACCCCAAACCAGCUUUGACCUUACUCUCCCUGGAUCAGUGGUUUUCAGUGGGUGCCGAGUGACUCCAGAAUUCACGGAAUUCACGUUUGUUCCUGUCUUGGAAGGCAAAGCCCUCAUCUGGCUCAGCUCACCUUUCCCACCUUCGCUCCUGCCUCUCAGACUGUCUCUGCCCAACUAAACAGACUGUUCCUGUCCCGAGCCUGCCUGUCCCCAGGGAGAAAUGUCCUUUCCUUUUCUUUACAGAUAAAAGCUACCCUCUUUCAAAUCUUA
This is a long non-coding RNA of Marmota monax (woodchuck), 4267 nucleotides long. RefSeq lists it as uncharacterized. NCBI's taxonomy places the organism in Eukaryota, Metazoa, Chordata, Mammalia, Rodentia, Sciuridae. The record is from RefSeq and is a predicted model, not a curated record. The transcript has 3 exons.